Molecule: ribosomal RNA, 489 nt
Filed under: uncultured bacterium
Lineage: Bacteria
Description: bacterial SSU rRNA
Rfam family: Bacterial small subunit ribosomal RNA
Source: RNAcentral
GGCUCAGAUUGAACGCUGGCGGCAUGCUUUACACAUGCAAGUCGAACGGUAGAGGGGGCAACCCUUGAGAGUGGCGAACGGGUGAGUAAUAUAUCGGAACGUGCCCAGUCGUGGGGGAUAACGUAGCGAAAGUUACGCUAAUACCGCAUACGAUCUAAGGAUGAAAGCGGGGGACUCGCAAGAGCCUCGCGCGAUUGGAGCGGCCGAUAUCAGAUUAGGUAGUUGGUGGGGUAAAGGCUCACCAAGCCAACGAUCUGUAGCUGGUCUGAGAGGACGACCAGCCACACUGGGACUGAGACACGGCCCAGACUCCUACGGGAGGCAGCAGUGGGGAAUUUUGGACAAUGGGGCGCAAGCCUGAUCCAGCAAUGCCGCGUGCAGGAUGAAGGCCUUCGGGUUGUAAACUGCUUUUGUACGGAACGAAACGGUGAGCUCUAAUACAGUUUGCUAAUGACGGUACCGUAAGAAUAAGCACCGGCUAACUACGUG